UUGCAUUUGACUGUGAUGCGUUACUGUGUGUUUGACUCUGUGUGUGUGAUUGUGUGAAUAUUGUGCAUUUGACUGUGGUGUGUGACUGUGUGAGUAUUGUAUUUUGACAAUGACUGUGUGUGGCUUGACUGUGUGUGUGGCUUGUAUGCUUUGCUGAAUGAUUGGUUGUUGUGGCUUAACACUGCCUCUGCCGGUCCCAAGCCCGGAUGUGAAAAUGUGGAGGGAGUCUGUUUCUUGUGUGCAAGUGCUACAUUGUGUGUGUGACUGUGUGUGUGAUGUGUCCGUAUCUAUGUCUGUUUCUUUUGUCUUGAUUGUGUGCAAGUGCUUGAUUGGGUGUGUGCUUGUGUGACCAUGCGUGUAUUGCAUUUGCUUGACGGUGUGGUUUGUAUAAAUUGUGUUUUAUAUGUCAGGAUUAAUUGUUGUUUGUUGAAUUUGAACAGAUCUAACACUAUUCUUUUUUCUAAACUUUGUUCUGAUUAUGUCUUAUGUGGAUACCAUACUCUUUUUUGUAUUAUUGUUGUCCAGUCACUGGAAUAACGCUUUUCUAAGUAUUUAACGUACAGCCAUGUAGAUCUAGACGUGAUGCUGAUGGGUUGGGUUUGCAUACAAUGCAGUAUGGACCAACAAAAUGGACUCAUUGCAAGGUGGACAUAUAGGCAAGAAAUGUCAAGAGAGAGAGAAGCUUGCACUAUUGAGGAGGAACAUGCACUGAUUAAUGCCCAUCAGGUAUAUGGGAAUAGAUGGGCAGAAAUAGCAAAAGUUCUUCCUAGAAGGUACCGUCAAACAACUUGCAUCUUAUUGGGAUAAUGUAGCCUAGCCUUGGCCCUCCUUGUUACCAGAUUCCUAGCCCCUGCCACUUCCUCAUUCUUUCCUGCACAUCAUAACAUGUACCACACAUUUGAACAUUGCAAAAAUCGGGUACUUCUAUUUGUUCUUCGGUUCUUCUCACCUAUAGCUAAAGUCAAAGACGACAAAACCAAGUGGAUUAUUGGAGUUACAAGAUACACAAAAUCAUCAGUAAGUUUCUAUCCUUUCAAAUGGCCGGAUUAUGAAUUUUGAUCAGUUUGUCUGACUGAAUCCUUGAUUCCUUGAUAACUUUGAUCAUAAACUGAUUCCCAAGUAUUUUUGACUCAUAUGAUGCUUAUUACA
This is a long non-coding RNA of Triticum aestivum (bread wheat), 1149 nucleotides long. RefSeq lists it as uncharacterized. Lineage: Eukaryota; Viridiplantae; Streptophyta; Magnoliopsida; Poales; Poaceae. The record is from RefSeq and is a predicted model, not a curated record. The transcript has 3 exons.